GCCUAACACAUGCAAGUGGAGCGACGAACCAGGCUUCGGCCUGGGGCAAAGCCGCGAACGGGUGAGUAACACGUGGGUGACCUACCCCGAAGACCGGGAUAACCCGAGGAAACUCGGGCUAAUACCGGAUGUGCUCCGUCUGCUGCGGCAGGCGGUGGAAAGGUAGCUUCGGCUUCCGCUUCGGGAUGGGCCCGCGGCCCAUUAGCUAGUUGGUGAGGUAACGGCUCACCAAGGCGACGAUGGGUAGCUGGUCUGAGAGGAUGGCCAGCCACACUGGGACUGAGACACGGCCCAGACUCCUACGGGAGGCAGCAGUGGGGAAUCUUGGGCAAUGCGCGAAAGCGUGACCCAGCGACGCCGCGUGGGGGAAGAAGGCCUUCGGGUCGUAAACCCCUUUCAGGAGGGACGAAGCCCGGUCCGUGAAUAGCGGUCCCGGGUGACGGUACCUCCAGAAGAAGCCCCGGCUAACUACGUGCCAGCAGCCGCGGUAAUACGUAGGGGGCGAGCGUUGCCCGGAAUCAUUGGGCGUAAAGCGCGCGUAGGCGGCCCGGUAAGUCCGCUGUGAAAGCCCGGGGCUCAACCCCGGGAGGCCGGCGGAUACUGUCGGGCUAGAGUCCGGAAGAGGCGGGUGGAAUUCCCGGUGUAGCGGUGAAAUGCGCAGAUAUCGGGAGGAACACCGAUGGCGAAGGCAGCCCGCUGGGACGGUACUGACGCUGAGGCGCGAAAGCGUGGGGAGCGAACAGGAUUAGAUACCCUGGUAGUCCACGCCGUAAACGAUGGGCACUAGGUGUGGGGGGUAGCCGACUCCCUCCGUGCCGAAGCUAACGCAUUAAGUGCCCCGCCUGGGGAGUACGGCCGCAAGGCUA
RNAcentral lists this ribosomal RNA (866 nucleotides) under uncultured bacterium. RNAcentral describes it as "bacterial SSU rRNA". It matches the Rfam family "Bacterial small subunit ribosomal RNA", at positions 46 to 896 of the family's 1533-position model. The record is from RNAcentral.